Long non-coding RNA from Rhipicephalus sanguineus (brown dog tick), 380 nucleotides. RefSeq lists it as uncharacterized. NCBI's taxonomy places the organism in Eukaryota, Metazoa, Arthropoda, Arachnida, Ixodida, Ixodidae. The transcript has 2 exons. The record is from RefSeq and is a predicted model, not a curated record.
AUCACUAAUGCAGGCUUACUGCUAUUUAAGAUAAGUUCGACACGUUACGACUUUUCUUGUUUGGCCCGCUGGGAGUCGAGUCUUUCUUACCGAGCGCCUUGAUUGGACUUAACACGCGUUCUAACCGAAAGGAGCACCGCCGGCUGCCCUGGCGCUGGAAUUCGUCGGGCUCCACUGCCCGAGGGGCUCGGCGGCCAAGGUGGCUUCUUCGGCGGCGUCACGGGUGCCCCUGGGCUGGCCCGCCCGGCUACUCUGCCGAGGCGUCAAACUCAAGCAGCGGCUCGUCUCGGGGCUGCUCCUCGCCGCCUCGGCCAUCCUCUUCCUCACCCUCGUGCGCAUCACGGGCGUCCGGCAGCUGCCGCCAUUCGCGUCGCCCGCCC